This 1372-nucleotide ribosomal RNA is filed under the name uncultured bacterium. Its description in RNAcentral is "bacterial SSU rRNA". It matches the Rfam family "Bacterial small subunit ribosomal RNA", at positions 28 to 1381 of the family's 1533-position model. The record is from RNAcentral.
GAUGAACGCUGGCGGCGUGCCUAAUACAUGCAAGUCGAGCGAACGGACGAGAAGCUUGCUUCUCUGAUGUUAGCGGCGGACGGGUGAGUAACACGUGGAUAACCUACCUAUAAGACUGGGAUAACUUCGGGAAACCGGAGCUAAUACCGGAUAAUAUUUUGAACCGCAUGGUUCAAAAGUGAAAGACGGUCUUGCUGUCACUUAUAGAUGGAUCCGCGCUGCAUUAGCUAGUUGGUAAGGUAACGGCUUACCAAGGCAACGAUGCAUAGCCGACCUGAGAGGGUGAUCGGCCACACUGGAACUGAGACACGGUCCAGACUCCUACGGGAGGCAGCAGCAGGGAAUCUUCCGCAAUGGGCGAAAGCCUGACGGAGCAACGCCGCGUGAGUGAUGAAGGUCUUCGGAUCGUAAAACUCUGUUAUUAGGGAAGAACAUAUGUGUAAGUAACUGUGCACAUCUUGACGGUACCUAAUCAGAAAGCCACGGCUAACUACGUGCCAGCAGCCGCGGUAAUACGUAGGUGGCAAGCGUUAUCCGGAAUUAUUGGGCGUAAAGCGCGCGUAGGCGGUUUUUUAAGUCUGAUGUGAAAGCCCACGGCUCAACCGUGGAGGGUCAUUGGAAACUGGAAAACUUGAGUGCAGAAGAGGAAAGUGGAAUUCCAUGUGUAGCGGUGAAAUGCGCAGAGAUAUGGAGGAACACCAGUGGCGAAGGCGACUUUCUGGCCUGUAACUGACGCUGAUGUGCGAAAGCGUGGGGAUCAAACAGGAUUAGAUACCCUGGUAGUCCACGCCGUAAACGAUGAGUGCUAAGUGUUAGGGGGUUUCCGCCCCUUAGUGCUGCAGCUAACGCAUUAAGCACUCCGCCUGGGGAGUACGACCGCAAGGUUGAAACUCAAAGGAAUUGACGGGGACCCGCACAAGCGGUGGAGCAUGUGGUUUAAUUCGAAGCAACGCGAAGAACCUUACCAAAUCUUGACAUCCUUUGACAACUCUAGAGAUAGAGCUUUCCCCUUCGGGGGACAAAGUGACAGGUGGUGCAUGGUUGUCGUCAGCUCGUGUCGUGAGAUGUUGGGUUAAGUCCCGCAACGAGCGCAACCCUUAAGCUUAGUUGCCAUCAUUAAGUUGGGCACUCUAAGUUGACUGCCGGUGACAAACCGGAGGAAGGUGGGGAUGACGUCAAAUCAUCAUGCCCCUUAUGAUUUGGGCUACACACGUGCUACAAUGGACAAUACAAAGGGCAGCGAAACCGCGAGGUCAAGCAAAUCCCAUAAAGUUGUUCUCAGUUCGGAUUGUAGUCUGCAACUCGACUACAUGAAGCUGGAAUCGCUAGUAAUCGUAGAUCAGCAUGCUACGGUGAAUACGUUCCCGGGUCU